AAGUUUCUGCCGGUAGGGAUUAUGCGUAGUUUCCUCAACCCGGGAGCUUCGGCCUUGUCCCCUCCCACCAUCGAAAUAGCAGCGAUUCCACAAAAUGAGCAGGAGGGGAAAAGCAAAGCGCCACAAACUUAAACCUGCUCUUCUCGUCACAAGGGCAUUGCUCACCAACCGGGGCACUGGCCAGCGUUUUUUACCUUUUUUUUCUAUUAUUUGGGAAUAUAUGUGUUAUAUUUUUGAGUCAUUUCUGUAAAUUUUCAGUAGGAAACAACCGACGUUUCAGCUAUAUUCACAGCACCGUUGUACAGAAGUGCAUUGUAUUGGGACCCGAGUAAGGAAGGAGGGAGCGAGGGAGGAGGAGGAGGAAGAGGAGGAGGGUGCUGGAGAAGCACACAGCUGCACGGCACACAGAAGCCGGUUUCCCAACCCUGACAGCAAGGGAGCGAGUGAACAAGGGGCCUCGCUUCGGCAGCUCUGUCCAGUAGAGAAAAUGUCUUUCUUUCAUUCUUUAAAAAAAAAAAAAACACUCUGAAAUACAGAACGGAUGAGGACGAGAAAGAGGAUUAUUUUUGCUUCUCCGUGACUGGCUACUCUUAUCCACUACAUGCGAUGAACUGCACACAAACGAUACACAUCAGGAUGUGCUACGUCAGGUUUGGUCCACCUUAAGUGCUGAUAAAAAUUCCGCUAGGACAAUUUGUCCUGAGGUAAAGCAGAGUGAUUGCCUGAACGAAGUCUGUGACUUUCCCCAGAAGUCAUCCAGAGCGACAUAAAGGCUUUUCCACUACAGCCAUCCAUAAGUCAUGUAGAGCUACCUCGUUCACCUGCGGCAAUGCGUGUGUGUGUGUGUAAGUCACAUGGUAGAUGCUCUGUAUGUGUGUGGUAUGGAAUGCACAAAUGGUGAGUUCUGCAUAUACAGAAGAUUCAUUCAUCUUAUUAAAGAGAAGGCAAGAGGUGGUUGAGUUCAACACACACACACACACACACACACACACACACACACACACACACACACACACACACACACACUGUCCAAUGAGGACCAAAUAAUGUCUCCACAUGAUUAAAAAUGCCAGAUGUUCCUACCCUUGUAAGGAACAAGAUGAUAAAAUACACACUCACAUAAACACACAAACACACACACAGUCACAAUGUGAGUUAUUAUCUUACAUAUAUAUAUAUAUAUGAAACGUUUUUACUGUAAAGCUAAUAAAUGACAUUUAAAAAAACAUUUUAUACAAUAUCAGUGUCUUUAAACAUGCAAAAUGAUCAAUAAAGUAUAAAAGAAAGUA
Silurus meridionalis is the source of this 1289-nucleotide long non-coding RNA. RefSeq lists it as uncharacterized. NCBI's taxonomy places the organism in Eukaryota, Metazoa, Chordata, Actinopteri, Siluriformes, Siluridae. The transcript is spliced from 3 exons. The record is from RefSeq and is a predicted model, not a curated record.